GAUGAACGCUGGCGGCGUGCCUAAUACAUGCAAGUCGAGCGAACAGACGAGGAGCUUGCUCCUCUGACGUUAGCGGCGGACGGGUGAGUAACACGUGGAUAACCUACCUAUAAGACUGGGAUAACUUCGGGAAACCGGAGCUAAUACCGGAUAAUAUAUUGAACCGCAUGGUUCAAUAGUGAAAGACGGUUUUGCUGUAACUUAUAGAUGGAUCCGCGCCGCCUUAGCUAGUUGGAAAGGUAACGGCUUCCCAAGGCGACGAUGCGUAGCCGACCUGGGGGGGGGAUCCGCCACCAGGGACCUGAGCACGGGCCCCGCACCCACGGGGAGGACGAAGGGGGAAAUCUUCCGAAAGGGGGGAAAGCCGGACGGAGAAACCCCGGGUGGGUGAAGAAGGUCUUCGGAUUGUAAAACUCUGUUAUGGGGGAAAAAAAAAUGUGAAAGUAACAAUGCCCGUUUUAACGGUCCCUAACAAAAAAGCCCCGGCUAACUACGU
Molecule: ribosomal RNA, 496 nt
Filed under: uncultured bacterium
Lineage: Bacteria
Description: partial 16S ribosomal RNA
Rfam family: Bacterial small subunit ribosomal RNA
Source: RNAcentral